This is a long non-coding RNA of Eurytemora carolleeae, 417 nucleotides long. RefSeq lists it as uncharacterized. The transcript is spliced from 3 exons. Lineage: Eukaryota; Metazoa; Arthropoda; Copepoda; Calanoida; Temoridae. The record is from RefSeq and is a predicted model, not a curated record.
UUUAAUGUUUAAUGUUGUAAGAAAAUGAGUGUAUCAUGGUCGUCUUCCCAUUCCAAAAUCAAUUGUUUUUAUUUAGCAACAUAUUAAACAGUCCAAAAAUUUAUUAUCUUCAUUGUUUAGCGAUUUCAUAUUUCUCGAAAAAAAUUCUUUAUCAAUACUUUUUUAUUAUUAUCAAAUUUCAGAAGUUCAGAAUCGGAGGUUCUAGCGGAAUGUUAACACGUGGUGCCAGUUUACAUUCUAACUAUUCAUAUCCGGGACUUCAAACCCAUGUGGGAAGGAUUUUAAAGACACAGAGUGGAAACAGUGGGAGCAAUGAACAACUAGUUCACACAGCUGAUUCUCAAGACAACCCUGGGUUUGAUUUAGAGAUAGACAAAUCCAAACCAAACCUGAUCAAGGUACACACCAAACCAAACC